CAGUCGCCGCGGUAAUACAGAGGGUGCAAGCGUUAAUCGGAAUUACUGGGCGUAAAGCGCGCGUAGGUGGUUUGUUAAGUUGGAUGUGAAAUCCCCGGGCUCAACCUGGGAACUGCAUCCAAAACUGGCAAGCUAGAGUAUGGUAGAGGGUGGUGGAAUUUCCUGUGUAGCGGUGAAAUGCGUAGAUAUAGGAAGGAACACCAGUGGCGAAGGCGACCACCUGGACUGAUACUGACACUGAGGUGCGAAAGCGUGGGGAGCAAACAGGAUUAGAUACCCGCGUAGUCCCUGUCUCUUAUAA
This 301-nucleotide ribosomal RNA is filed under the name uncultured bacterium. Its description in RNAcentral is "partial 16S ribosomal RNA". It matches the Rfam family "Bacterial small subunit ribosomal RNA", at positions 509 to 809 of the family's 1533-position model. The record is from RNAcentral.